This 253-nucleotide ribosomal RNA is filed under the name uncultured bacterium. RNAcentral describes it as "partial 16S ribosomal RNA". It matches the Rfam family "Bacterial small subunit ribosomal RNA", at positions 524 to 776 of the family's 1533-position model. The record is from RNAcentral.
UACGAACUGUGCAAACGUUAUUCGGAAUCACUGGGCUUAAAGGGUGCGUAGGCGGCUGUCUAAGCAGGGUGUGAAAGCCCCCGGCUCAACCGGGGAAUUGCGUUCUGAACUGGACGGCUGGAGUGGGAUAGAGGUGUGCGGAACUUCCGGUGGAGCGGUGAAAUGUGUUGAUAUCGGAAGGAACGCCGGUGGCGAAAGCGGCACACUGGGUCUCAACUGACGCUGAGGCACGAAAGCCAGGGGAGCGAACGGG